CGGAACGGGUGAGUAACGCGUGAGGAACCUGCCUCAAAGAGGGGGACAACAGUUGGAAACGACUGCUAAUACCGCAUAAGCCCACGGGUCGGCAUCGAUCUGAGGGAAAAGGAGUGAUCCGCUUUGAGAUGGCCUCGCGUCCGAUUAGCUAGUUGGUGAGGUAAUGGCCCACCAAGGCGACGAUCGGUAGCCGGACUGAGAGGUUGAACGGCCACAUUGGGACUGAGACACGGCCCAG
Molecule: ribosomal RNA, 238 nt
Filed under: uncultured bacterium
Lineage: Bacteria
Description: partial 16S ribosomal RNA
Rfam family: Bacterial small subunit ribosomal RNA
Source: RNAcentral